This 483-nucleotide ribosomal RNA is filed under the name uncultured bacterium. RNAcentral's name for it is "partial 16S ribosomal RNA". It matches the Rfam family "Bacterial small subunit ribosomal RNA", at positions 30 to 506 of the family's 1533-position model. The record is from RNAcentral.
AUUGAACGCUGGCGGCAGGCCUAACACAUGCAAGUCGAGCGGAUGAAGGGAGCUUGCUCCUGGAUUCAGCGGCGGACGGGUGAGUAAUGCCUAGGAAUCUGCCUGGUAGUGGGGGAUAACGUCCGGAAACGGGCGCUAAUACCGCAUACGUCCUGAGGGAGAAAGUGGGGGAUCUUCGGACCUCACGCUAUCAGAUGAGCCUAGGUCGGAUUAGCUAGUUGGUGGGGUAAAGGCCUACCAAGGCGACGAUCCGUAACUGGUCUGAGAGGAUGAUCAGUCACACUGGAACUGAGACACGGUCCAGACUCCUACGGGAGGCAGCAGUGGGGAAUAUUGGACAAGGGGCGAAAGCCUGAUCCAGCCAUGCCGCGUGUGUGAAGAAGGUCUUCGGAUUGUAAAGCACUUUAAGUUGGGAGAAAGGGCAGUAAGUUAAUACCUGGCUGUUUUGCCGUUACCAACAGAAUAAGCACCGGCUACCUUCGU